AGUGAACGCUGGCGGUAGGCCUAACACAUGCAAGUCGAACGGCAGCACAGUAAGAGCUUGCUCUUACGGGUGGCGAGUGGCGGACGGGUGAGGAAUACAUCGGAAUCUACUUUUUCGUGGGGGAUAACGUAGGGAAACUUACGCUAAUACCGCAUACGACCUACGGGUGAAAGCAGGGGAUCUUCGGACCUUGCGCGAUUGAAUGAGCCGAUGUCGGAUUAGCUAGUUGGCGGGGUACAGGCCCACCAAGGCGACGAUCCGUAGCUGGUAUGAGAGGACGGUUAGCCGCCCUGGGAGUGUGACACGGUACAGAGUCCCUCGGGAGGGGGCCAUGGGGAAUAUUGGACAAUGGGCGCAAGCCUGAUCCAGACAUACCGCGUGGGUGAAGAAGGCCUUCGGGUUGUAAAGCCCUGUUGUUGGGAAAGAAAAGCAGCAGGUUAAUACCCCGCUGUUCUGACGGUACCCAAAGAAUAAGCACCGGCUAACUUCGUG
RNAcentral lists this ribosomal RNA (492 nucleotides) under uncultured bacterium. Its description in RNAcentral is "partial 16S ribosomal RNA". It matches the Rfam family "Bacterial small subunit ribosomal RNA", at positions 29 to 507 of the family's 1533-position model. The record is from RNAcentral.